AGAGCGAACGCUGGCGGCAGGCCUAACACAUGCAAGUCGAGCGACCCGUAGCAAUACGGGAGCGGCAGACGGGAUAGUAACACGUGGGAACGCGCCCUUCGGUUCGGAAUAACUCAGGGAAACUUGAGCUAAUACCGGAUACGCCCUUACGGGGAAAGAUUUAUUGCCGAAGGAACGGCCCGCGUCCGAUUAGCUAGUUGGUGAGGUAAUGGCUCACCAAGGCUCCGAUCGGUAGCUGGUCUGAGAGGAUGACCAGCAUCACUGGGACUGAGACACGGCCCAGACUCCUACGGGAGGCAGCAGUGGGGAAUAUUGGACAAUGGGCGCAAGCCUGAUCCAGCCAUGCCGCGUGGAUGAUGAAGGCCUUAGGGUUGUAAAGUCCUUUUAACGGGGAAGAUAAUGACGGUACCCGUAGAAUAAGCCCGGCUAACUUCGUGCCAGCAGCCGC
This 448-nucleotide ribosomal RNA is filed under the name uncultured bacterium. Its description in RNAcentral is "SSU rRNA". It matches the Rfam family "Bacterial small subunit ribosomal RNA", at positions 26 to 518 of the family's 1533-position model. The record is from RNAcentral.